GACAGCAGCAGCCGCGGGAACACGUAGGGUGCGAGCGUUAAUCGGAAUUACUGGGCGUAAAGCGUGCGCAGGCGGUUAUAUAAGACAGAUGUGAAAUCCCCGGGCUCAACCUGGGACCUGCAUUUGUGACUGUAUAGCUAGAGUACGGUAGAGGGGGAUGGAAUUCCGCGUGUAGCAGUGAAAUGCGUAGAUAUGCGGAGGAACACCGAUGGCGAAGGCAAUCCCCUGGACCUGUACUGACGCUCAUGCACGAAAGCGUGGGGAGCAAACAGGAUUAGAUACCCCAGUAGUCCCUGUCUCUUAUAC
Molecule: ribosomal RNA, 306 nt
Filed under: uncultured bacterium
Lineage: Bacteria
Description: partial 16S ribosomal RNA
Rfam family: Bacterial small subunit ribosomal RNA
Source: RNAcentral